RNAcentral lists this ribosomal RNA (1529 nucleotides) under Neisseria gonorrhoeae. Its description in RNAcentral is "bacterial SSU rRNA". It matches the Rfam family "Bacterial small subunit ribosomal RNA". The record is from RNAcentral. Lineage: Bacteria; Pseudomonadati; Pseudomonadota; Betaproteobacteria; Neisseriales; Neisseriaceae.
AGAGUUUGAUCCUGGCUCAGAUUGAACGCUGGCGGCAUGCUUUACACAUGCAAGUCGGACGGCAGCACAGGGAAGCUUGCUUCUCGGGUGGCGAGUGGCGAACGGGUGAGUAACAUAUCGGAACGUACCGGGUAGCGGGGGAUAACUGAUCGAAAGAUCAGCUAAUACCGCAUACGUCUUGAGAGGGAAAGCAGGGGACCUUCGGGCCUUGCGCUAUCCGAGCGGCCGAUAUCUGAUUAGCUGGUUGGCGGGGUAAAGGCCCACCAAGGCGACGAUCAGUAGCGGGUCUGAGAGGAUGAUCCGCCACACUGGGACUGAGACACGGCCCAGACUCCUACGGGAGGCAGCAGUGGGGAAUUUUGGACAAUGGGCGCAAGCCUGAUCCAGCCAUGCCGCGUGUCUGAAGAAGGCCUUCGGGUUGUAAAGGACUUUUGUCAGGGAAGAAAAGGCCGUUGCCAAUAUCGGCGGCCGAUGACGGUACCUGAAGAAUAAGCACCGGCUAACUACGUGCCAGCAGCCGCGGUAAUACGUAGGGUGCGAGCGUUAAUCGGAAUUACUGGGCGUAAAGCGGGCGCAGACGGUUACUUAAGCAGGAUGUGAAAUCCCCGGGCUCAACCCGGGAGCUGCGUUCUGAACUGGGUGACUCGAGUGUGUCAGAGGGAGGUGGAAUUCCACGUGUAGCAGUGAAAUGCGUAGAGAUGUGGAGGAAUACCGAUGGCGAAGGCAGCCUCCUGGGAUAACACUGACGUUCAUGUCCGAAAGCGUGGGUAGCAAACAGGAUUAGAUACCCUGGUAGUCCACGCCCUAAACGAUGUCAAUUAGCUGUUGGGCAACUUGAUUGCUUGGUAGCGUAGCUAACGCGUGAAAUUGACCGCCUGGGGAGUACGGUCGCAAGAUUAAAACUCAAAGGAAUUGACGGGGACCCGCACAAGCGGUGGAUGAUGUGGAUUAAUUCGAUGCAACGCGAAGAACCUUACCUGGUUUUGACAUGUGCGGAAUCCUCCGGAGACGGAGGAGUGCCUUCGGGAGCCGUAACACAGGUGCUGCAUGGCUGUCGUCAGCUCGUGUCGUGAGAUGUUGGGUUAAGUCCCGCAACGAGCGCAACCCUUGUCAUUAGUUGCCAUCAUUCGGUUGGGCACUCUAAUGAGACUGCCGGUGACAAGCCGGAGGAAGGUGGGGAUGACGUCAAGUCCUCAUGGCCCUUAUGACCAGGGCUUCACACGUCAUACAAUGGUCGGUACAGAGGGUAGCCAAGCCGCGAGGCGGAGCCAAUCUCACAAAACCGAUCGUAGUCCGGAUUGCACUCUGCAACUCGAGUGCAUGAAGUCGGAAUCGCUAGUAAUCGCAGGUCAGCAUACUGCGGUGAAUACGUUCCCGGGUCUUGUACACACCGCCCGUCACACCAUGGGAGUGGGGGAUACCAGAAGUAGGUAGGGUAACCGCAAGGAGUCCGCUUACCACGGUAUGCUUCAUGACUGGGGUGAAGUCGUAACAAGGUAGCCGUAGGGGAACCUGCGGCUGGAUCACCU